UGAGGAAUAUUGGGCAAUGCCCGAAAGGGUGACCCAGCAACGCCGCGUGGAGGAUGAAGGUCGUAAGAUUGUAAACUCCUGUUAGAGGGGAAGAAUAACUAAGUUUGGAGCUUAGUAUGACUGUACCCUCAGAGAAAGCCCCGGCUAACUACGUGCCAGCAGCCGCGGUAAUACGUAGGGGGCAAGCGUUGUCCGGAUUUACUGGGUGUAAAGGGCGCGCAGGCGGAAUGGAAAGUCAGUGGUGAAAUCCUACCGCUUAACUGUAGAACUGCCUUUGAUACUUUCAUUCUUGAGUUCGGGAGAGAGAGACGGAAUUCCAGGUGUAGUGGUGAAAUACGUAGAUAUCUGGAAGAACACCAGUUGCGAAGGCGGUCUCUUGGUCCGAUACUGACGCUGAGGCGCGAAAGCGUGGGGAGCAAAC
Molecule: ribosomal RNA, 421 nt
Filed under: uncultured bacterium
Lineage: Bacteria
Description: bacterial SSU rRNA
Rfam family: Bacterial small subunit ribosomal RNA
Source: RNAcentral